UACGUAGGGUGCAAGCGUUAUCCGGAAUUAUUGGGCGUAAAGAGCUCGUAGGCGGUUUGUCACGUCUGCUGUGAAAACUGGAGGCUCAACCUCCAGCCUGCAGUGGGUACGGGCAGACUAGAGUGCGGUAGGGGAGAUUGGAAUUCCUGGUGUAGCGGUGGAAUGCGCAGAUAUCAGGAGGAACACCGAUGGCGAAGGCAGAUCUCUGGGCCGUAACUGACGCUGAGGAGCGAAAGCAUGGGGAGCGAGCAGG
This 253-nucleotide ribosomal RNA is filed under the name uncultured bacterium. RNAcentral's name for it is "partial 16S ribosomal RNA". It matches the Rfam family "Bacterial small subunit ribosomal RNA", at positions 524 to 776 of the family's 1533-position model. The record is from RNAcentral.